RNAcentral lists this unclassified non-coding RNA (328 nucleotides) under soil metagenome. RNAcentral describes it as "partial contains 5.8S ribosomal RNA, internal transcribed spacer 2, and large subunit ribosomal RNA". The stretch from base 1 to 120 matches the Rfam family "5.8S ribosomal RNA", at positions 35 to 154 of the family's 154-position model. The record is from RNAcentral.
GAUGAAGAACGUAGCGAAAUGCGAUAAGUAAUGUGAAUUGCAGAAUUCAGUGAAUCAUCCAAUCUUUGAACGCACAUUGCGCCCCUUGGUAUUCCGAGGGGCAUGCCUGUUCGAGCGUCAUUAUAACCCUCAAGCUCAGCUUGGUGUUGGGGCCUGCUGCACUGGCAGCCCUUAAAAUCAGUGGCGGCGCCAUCUGGCUCUAAGCGUAGUAAUUCUUCUCGCUAUGGAGUCCUGGUGGAUGCUUGCCAUCAACCCCCAAUUUUUCUAUGGUUGACCUCGGAUCAGGUAGGGAUACCCGCUGAACUUAAGCAUAUCAAUAAGCGGAGGA